UACGUAGGGACCGAGCGUUGUCCGGAUUCAUUGGGCGUAAAGAGUUCGUAGGCGGCUGCUCAAGUCGAAUGUGAAAACUCGAGGCUCAACCUCGAGCCUGCAUUCGAUACUGGGCGGCUAGAGUCUGGUAGGGGGAUCUGGAAUUCCUGGUGUAGCGGUAGAAUGCGCAGAUAUCAGGAGGAACACCGGUGGCGAAGGCGGGAUUCUGGACCGACAUUGACGCUGAGGAGCGAAAGCCAGGGGAGCAAACGGG
RNAcentral lists this ribosomal RNA (253 nucleotides) under uncultured bacterium. Its description in RNAcentral is "partial 16S ribosomal RNA". It matches the Rfam family "Bacterial small subunit ribosomal RNA", at positions 524 to 776 of the family's 1533-position model. The record is from RNAcentral.